AGCUGACUAGCUAGCCAACACAUUUGGUCUAACACCACAACAUACAUAUCCCUAUAAAACUUAAAAUUAAGUCAACAAACCAUUUUUCCACCUUAGUACGGGCGACGGAAAAGGAAACAUUCGAGCAACAGAAAAAGUACCGCAAGGGAAAGCUGAAAGAGAAAUGAAACAACCCAUUUAAGCCUAGAAAAGCAGAGAUUAAAUCUCGUACCUUUUGCAUCAUGAUUUAGCCAGCAAACCUGAGCAAAGAGAACUUUAGUUCAGGCCCCCGAAACUAGACGAGCUACUCCGGGACAGCCUAUUAUAGGGCCAACCCGUCUCUGUGGCAAAAGAGUGGGACGAGCCCCGAGUAGAGGUGACAAACCUAUCGAGCCUAGUUAUAGCUGGUUGCUUAGGAAAUGAAUAGAAGUUCAGCCUCCUGGCUUUCUUAGGACCUCAAGGUAAAACUAACCUUGUCCCAAAGAAACCAAGAGAGUUAAUCAAAGGAGGUACAGCUCCUUUGAACAAGGACACAACCUUAACAGGCGGCUAAGGAUCAUAAUUACUAAGGCGACCUGUUACAGUGGGCCUAAGAGCAGCCACCUGCAUAGAAAGCGUUAAAGCUCAGACAGAUGUAAGCCUCUUAUCCUGAUAAGAAAUCCUACCCCCCUAACCGUACUAAGCCGUUCCAUGCCCCCAUGGAAGCGAUUAUGCUAGAAUGAGUAAUAAGAGAGAACAACUCUCUCCCGGCACAUGUGUAAGUCGGACCGGACCCACCACCGACAAAUAACGAACCCAAACCAAGAGGGAACUGUAAGCCAGAAUAAACAUCCAAGAAGAACCUGCAUCUAUAAAUCGUUAACCCCACACAGGAGUGCUUACAGGGAAA
This 868-nucleotide ribosomal RNA is filed under the name Salmo labrax (Black sea salmon). Its description in RNAcentral is "partial 16S ribosomal RNA". The stretch from base 190 to 868 matches the Rfam family "Bacterial large subunit ribosomal RNA", at positions 568 to 1679 of the family's 2925-position model. Lineage: Eukaryota; Metazoa; Chordata; Actinopteri; Salmoniformes; Salmonidae. The record is from RNAcentral.